AAAGGUAAGCUACUAAGAGCGAAUGGUGGAUGCCUUGACUGGUAAAGGCGAUGAAGGACGUACUAGACUGCGAUAAGCUACGGGGAGCUGUCAAGAAGCUUUGAUCCGUAGAUUUCCGAAUGGGGCAACCCAAUGUAUAGAGAUAUACAUUACCUAUAUAGGAGCGAACGAGGGGAAUUGAAACAUCUUAGUACCCUCAGGAAAAGAAAUCAAUAGAGAUUGCGUCAGUAGCGGCGAGCGAAAGCGCAAGAGGGCAAACCCAGUGCUUGCACUGGGGGUUGUAGGACUGCAAUGUGCAAGAGGUGAGUUUAGCAGAACAUUCUGGAAAGUAUAGCCAUAGAGGGUGAUAGUCCCGUAUGCGAAAAACAAACCUUAGCUAGCAGUAUCCUGAGUAGGGCGGGACACGAGAAAUCCUGUCUGAAGCUGGGUCGACCACGAUCCAACCCUAAAUACUAAUACCAGAUCGAUAGUGCACAAGUACCGUGAGGGAAAGGUGAAAAGAACUGAGGUGAUCAGAGUGAAAUAGAACCUGAAACCAUUUGCUUACAAUCAUUCAGAGCCCUAUGUAGCAAUACAGGGUGAUGGACUGCCUUUUG
RNAcentral lists this ribosomal RNA (596 nucleotides) under Campylobacter coli. RNAcentral's name for it is "partial 23S ribosomal RNA". It matches the Rfam family "Bacterial large subunit ribosomal RNA", at positions 1 to 610 of the family's 2925-position model. Lineage: Bacteria; Pseudomonadati; Campylobacterota; Epsilonproteobacteria; Campylobacterales; Campylobacteraceae. The record is from RNAcentral.